CUAUUUAUAAAGCCUGCUAUACUGCCUUCUCUUUUUACAUUAGAAAAUAGUGAUAACGACGAUAUCGCGAGGUCUGGAAACCAUAAUCUAAAUUCCGAAAAUCAAUGAAGACGGUAGAAAGCACUCUCGCCAGACCACAGUAUAACUGCUGAAUUUACGAAUGCUCACCAGUUGAAUAUGGCCGGUGUCAGUAAACGUUGGCAAAAUGCGUAAUUAUAUUGUUGCCAAUAGCACAGUUACAGUCACCAACGCUCUGGAUAACACGAAAACAGCCUAAUCAGCUCUACUUGGCAGGGAGACAUGCAGUACCAGCAAAUCUUCUGCAAGAGAACCAAACAGUUGGUGGUUAUGAAGCCCUACACCACUUUCGGCAGUCUUAUCCAGCUGGCUGUUCAUCUCAGUUGUGUAGUUGCACCCUGACAGUGGCAAGUGGCAAGCAGGUCAUCCUGAUUGGUAUAAUUGUACGGACAGAGAUUAUCACACUACUGUCAAUGGGCUGGAAUAAGAGGAAGUUCACCAACAUGGAUCGCAUGUAACACUCGUCUGAAGAAGUGGACCAUAAUCAUAUUCUUUAAUGAUAACCACAAAAAGAAGAGAGAGAGAACCAACGAAACGUACAGCCUUGAAGGGCUCAACAGCAACAAUACAAGGACAAGAUCCUACAACAUAGAAUGUCAAAAGACUGGAGGAGACCAGCCUCGCAAAAAGCGGGAAGAGCUAGACAUCAACACCGCUGUGCUACAGGAGUGGAUUACUGAGGUCCAGCAGUGGCCUGAUGACACACUUCAGGAUCGUCAGACGGGGCAUCUCCAGAAGAAGCUUGAAGGGCUUUACCACAGUGUGAAAGAGGAAACUACUUCUACCAUUUGACAGCUCACAGGCAACUGCCAUCAAAAGGCAAUCUUCAACAGACUGAUGUUAGUGAACAGACUGCAGGAGGAAGAGAGGAUCCUGGUCCGGGAGAUGAAGAGGCACUGGGGGAGCCUACAAAGAGCAGUGGGAACUGUGGCGGCACUGUACCUACAAGUGCUUACAUGUGACUUUUAGGUAAUGCAGUGGAGUUUUCAGAGGGAGGGAAGAAUGGCCUUCUCUGCCACCCGAAGAGAAGAUUGAGUGAACUGACACAAGACCAAGUUGACACCAGGAAUACCUACCACAAGCUGAUUCUGGGAGAAGGGGAUAUUUUUUUAUGACUGAUGUAGGAGAGGGAGAAGGCCGCCAACCACCUCCCUUGGGAGCAGCCUGGUCUCCUGACGUUGACCCCUCACCUUCUGAACCCAUCCAGGGAAAUGUAAUUUGCCUGAUGAUGUGCUAGUGGAGAAGGAAUGUGUCAUGUUUCCUCUCCUCACCACCUCUCUUCCGGUCCUAGACUAUGGCAACAUCAUCUGCAACUCAUACUGUUGGUUGAGGACCUCUUACUGAGGAAUGUGGUUCUUCAUUAUUAUUUAUCUGUAUUUACUACAAGUAUUUUCUAUGCUGCCAUGAUU
Long non-coding RNA from Oncorhynchus tshawytscha (Chinook salmon), 1487 nucleotides. The record is from Ensembl. NCBI's taxonomy places the organism in Eukaryota, Metazoa, Chordata, Actinopteri, Salmoniformes, Salmonidae.